Molecule: long non-coding RNA, 912 nt
Organism: Homo sapiens (human)
Lineage: Eukaryota; Metazoa; Chordata; Mammalia; Primates; Hominidae
Product: long intergenic non-protein coding RNA 2645
Source: Ensembl
GGCGAGGGAGGAAACCGCGCUUUGUUCUUGAGGUGAGCCGGGUGCGCGACCAUGAGGAAGGAUGGCGAGGGAGGAAACCGCGCUUUGUUGGUGAGGUGAAACGGGUGCACGAUCCCGAGGAAGUAUUGCCAGGGAGGAAACCGCGCUUUGCUGGUGAGGUGUUCACGGAUAAUGAAGCUGAUGUGAGAGCCCUGGAGAGAAACAUCAGUCAAAGGGAAUCCCAUCCAGCGUCCCUCUACUCUCCUCUGCAGCUUCCAUGGUUGGAAUGCUGAGCCAUUGCUAGGACGAUGAGGCUACAGGAAAGUGAAAUGCACCUGCUGCGAUCUGAUCCAACUGACCACUCCUGCUGCUCCUCCCUUGCACCUCAGGCAUCUCCUUCCAAUCUGGAGGAAACACUUUUACCUCCACUUUUCUUUUACAGUCCUCCAAACUCUGUUCCUUCUAGGGAGCACAAGUACAGAAAUAGAAACCUGGACUCCCAUCAUCCUGCUUCACAAACUUACAAUGUUAAAGAAAGAAAAAAAAAAAGACCAAGUACAUUACCUGGUAGAAUUGGAGAGAUGGGCACGAAAGAGCUGUAAAUACAGUUAGAAAACACACUAGCAUUUACAAAUGUGUAUGAGAAACAAUGAGGAGGAUUUUCAGAGACUAUCAUAACCAUUUAUUUUUCUAAUAUGUGAUAAGUAAACGCACAGAAAAUCAAUUUAAUAUUUGGGGCUUUUAUUUCUCAUUUUUUAGAUUGCCAGAAAGACUGUCCAGUGUUAUAAAGUUUGUGUCAAUAUUCUGGAAUUGGCAAUUUUGUCAUUUAUAUGGGAGAAAUAGCUAAAGGUGUAGUAUAAAGUAUUUGCUCGUAGGUAAUGGAAUGUUACCUUUACCCAAAGAUAUAAAAAAUAAACGGUAGAACAAAAACUC